UGGAAUGAUGAUUUCUCAGACUAGAAUCUAACACUGGUCCCAACAUCAAAAAUUAAGUUCUA
RNAcentral lists this small nucleolar RNA (62 nucleotides) under Catagonus wagneri (Chacoan peccary). RNAcentral's name for it is "Small nucleolar RNA SNORD52 (ENSCWAG00000003866.1)". It matches the Rfam family "Small nucleolar RNA SNORD52". From Rfam's summary of the family: U52 belongs to the C/D class of snoRNA which contain the C (UGAUGA) and D (CUGA) box motifs. Most of the members of the box C/D family function in directing site-specific 2'-O-methylation of substrate RNAs. Lineage: Eukaryota; Metazoa; Chordata; Mammalia; Artiodactyla; Tayassuidae. The record is from Rfam by way of RNAcentral.